Molecule: ribosomal RNA, 253 nt
Filed under: uncultured bacterium
Lineage: Bacteria
Description: partial 16S ribosomal RNA
Rfam family: Bacterial small subunit ribosomal RNA
Source: RNAcentral
UACGUAGGGAGCAAGCGUUGUCCGGAAUCAUUGGGCAUAAAGCGCGCGUAGGUGGCCACAUAAGUCCGUUGUGAAAGUCAAAGGCUCAACCUUUGAAAGCCGAUGGAUACUGUGUGGCUAGAGUACGGAAGAGGCGAGUGGAAUUCCUGGUGUAGCGGUGGAAUGCGCAGAUAUCAGGAGGAACACCAAUAGCGAAGGCAGCUCGCUGGGACGUUACUGACACUGAGGCGCGAAAGCGUGGGGAGCGAACAGG